Molecule: ribosomal RNA, 397 nt
Filed under: uncultured Acidovorax sp.
Lineage: Bacteria; Pseudomonadati; Pseudomonadota; Betaproteobacteria; Burkholderiales; Comamonadaceae
Description: bacterial SSU rRNA
Rfam family: Bacterial small subunit ribosomal RNA
Source: RNAcentral
CAUGUACGGAAUCCUUUAGAGAUAGAGGAGUGCUCGAAAGAGAGCCGUAACACAGGUGCUGCAUGGCUGUCGUCAGCUCGUGUCGUGAGAUGUUGGGUUAAGUCCCGCAACGAGCGCAACCCUUGUCAUUAGUUGCUACAUUCAGUUGGGCACUCUAAUGAGACUGCCGGUGACAAACCGGAGGAAGGUGGGGAUGACGUCAAGUCCUCAUGGCCCUUAUAGGUGGGGCUACACACGUCAUACAAUGGAUGGUACAAAGGGUCGCCAACCCGCGAGGGGGAGCCAAUCCCAUAAAGCCAUUCGUAGUCCGGAUCGCAGUCUGCAACUCGACUGCGUGAAGUCGGAAUCGCUAGUAAUCGUGGAUCAGAAUGUCACGGUGAAUACGUUCCCGGGUCUU